AUACUUACCUGGACGGGGUCGACGUACUAUCAACAAGGCCCGUGGCCUAAGCCAAUGGCCCACAUUGCACUUGGUGGGCGCGUUGACUUAUCAUCUCCCCAAGUGGGAGAAUGAACGUCGUAAUUUGUGGUAGAGGGGGUACGCGUUCGCGUGGCCCCUGC
This 161-nucleotide small nuclear RNA is filed under the name Triticum aestivum (bread wheat). Its description in RNAcentral is "snRNA U1". It matches the Rfam family "U1 spliceosomal RNA". Rfam says of the family: U1 is a small nuclear RNA (snRNA) component of the spliceosome (involved in pre-mRNA splicing). Its 5' end forms complementary base pairs with the 5' splice junction, thus defining the 5' donor site of an intron. The record is from RNAcentral. Lineage: Eukaryota; Viridiplantae; Streptophyta; Magnoliopsida; Poales; Poaceae.